Non-coding RNA from Misgurnus anguillicaudatus (oriental weatherfish), 1883 nucleotides. Lineage: Eukaryota; Metazoa; Chordata; Actinopteri; Cypriniformes; Cobitidae. The record is from RefSeq and is a predicted model, not a curated record.
UAUAGGGAACGAAUUGAGACACAGCCCUGGAUGUAAUCACGUCUGUGCUGAUCACGAGCCUGUACACAAACCCGCAGCUCACUUGCAAAAGAUUAUCCGGUUAUUUAUUACACGCAAAGUAAACGUUUUUAUCAUGAAUCAAUGUUAUAGUUUUGUAUGUCACAUUAUUUUUUGAGAAGAGUCAUGACUGAACGCGGACCUUACACGCUGUUGUUUUUUUGUGUGCGUAUGGCCAAGGUACAGUGCGCUCUUUUGCACUAUGACCAGCCAUCAGUAAAUCGAAAUACAGUAAAAAAAUGAGCGCGAAACCCUGACACUUUACAGAAAGGCACGGAUAUCCCUGCCCGAAGAAAAAAAGAACACAGGACAAUGGUUGCAAGUUAAACAGCUGGUAAGUAAAAUGAGUAAUCCUGUGAUUUCUUAACAUAUUUAAUUUUUUAUUUGGUUAAUUAAUUUGAAACACUUAACAACACGCAGUUAACGGUAAUUUACCUCACACGUUAGGACUGUUGUGACUAAACAGAUAGGGAGAGAGCUUUGUGGUGAAAACUCUUUUUAAGACUCAACAAAACUUUCGGUGCAAGUUAUCAUAUUUAUUUCUUUUCCUUUUUAGAACAUUUCACCGUACUAUCUGCAAAGGUAAGUAAUCUUCUUGUGAUUUCUUACCAUAUUUAAUAUUUUUGGUUUAGUUCAUUAAUUUGAAACACUUUUUUUAAACACUUAACAACACGCAGUUGACGGUAAUUUACCUCACUGUUGUGAACAAGAUAGUUAGAGAGCUUUGAGGUAGAAACUCGUUUAAGACUGAAGAAAACGCAACAUUCUGUGCAUAUAAUCAUAUUUAAAUAUUUUCUUCCCCUUUUUAGAACAUUUCACCAUCAACAUAUUAACAUAAACGGUUCUCUUUUUCUUGUUUGACUGCGUUUGGUACAGGUCACAACAACGACGGCAGAUGUAGAGACCACGCUUUCCCUUGCUUCCACUCCACGGCUGAUCAUGCUUGAGGAUCCAGAUCUACAAAACAAAAAAUGGAUGCUGCCGAUUGAAGGCUAAGUCCGAUUUCCUGCGAUUGACCUACCAUUUCUUCAGCAUUUGCUGUUCACUUUGGUUGCUACUACGUGCUCAACAUCGAGUACCAAGUGCAAGCAGCCACUACUUUGGAGUUUAUUCAGAGAUUUAUUGUGAGGAUCAGCCCCGACAACAGCAAGUGCUCCUCUAACUUCCAGGUGAGCAAAAGAAGUGGGAAGAUGGUGCAAAGGAAGAACUCUGGCCUGAACCAUCAUGUAUAUAUCCACCUUAUUAAGGACUUUAUGAAUUAAGCAAAACUAUUAAGCAACUAAAGCAAAUACAUUCUACUCAACUCACCAGAGACGGUUUCAUCGGACGCACAUGACACACGUCUGGAUCCGAUCCUUACUUCCGGUUUCGCUUUUUUAAUGGUCUGACUAGUUGCUAAACUGAUCUCUUGAACAAAAGCCUCGUUGAAAAUAACAAAUGUUUUGGUUUCCGAGCUAAUCUAUGUGUUGUUUUUUUGCUUGUUAUAUAAAUAAAUGCGUUUAAAGAACUUUGUUGUUUUUUAUUCUUAGCGGAGUUUAUCGGAAGUUCAUGCGGACCGCGACAGCCGCUUGUUUAUGAUGUUACUGCUGAAACCAUCUAUAGUUAUAACUGAAUUUGUACUAGUAUUAUUUGAUAAUACUGUGAAAUGAAACAGUGAGUAAAUGUUACAUUGGCUUUGAAAAAGCUGUUGCUGCAAGAAAUUACAAUUUACUCAGAAUAAUAUUUUGAAUGUAUAAGUUUUUGACAUUGCUUAUGACUGCAUUUGAAUGUAUUGUUCAUGAAUUGAUGCUGUGAUAUGUGUGUGUACAUGUUUUGUAUUUUACUCA